AUUGAACGCUGGCGGCAUGCCUUACACAUGCAAGUCGAACGGUAACAGGUCUUCGGAUGCUGACGAGUGGCGAACGGGUGAGUAAUACAUCGGAACGUGCCUAGUAGUGGGGGAUAACUACUCGAAAGAGUGGCUAAUACCGCAUGAGAUCUACGGAUGAAAGAAGGGGAUCGCAAGACCUUGUGCUACUAGAGCGGCCGAUGGCAGAUUAGGUAGUUGGUGGGAUAAAAGCUUACCAAGCCGACGAUCUGUAGCUGGUCUGAGAGGACGAUCAGCCACACUGGGACUGAGACACGGCCCAGACUCCUACGGGAGGCAGCAGUGGGGAAUUUUGGACAAUGGGCGAAAGCCUGAUCCAGCAAUGCCGCGUGCAGGUUGAAGGCCUUCGGGUUGUAAACUGCUUUUGUACGGAACGAAAAGCCCCGGGUUAAUACCCUGGGGUCAUGACGGUACCGUAAGAAUAAGCACCGGCUAACUACGUGCCAGCCGCCGCAGUAA
RNAcentral lists this ribosomal RNA (498 nucleotides) under uncultured bacterium. Its description in RNAcentral is "partial 16S ribosomal RNA". It matches the Rfam family "Bacterial small subunit ribosomal RNA", at positions 30 to 523 of the family's 1533-position model. The record is from RNAcentral.